AAGUCAAACCAGUUCAUCGCUUGUUAUGCAAGAGGAAAGUCCGGACAGCAUAGAGCAGUAUGCUUCCUAACAGGAAGGGUCAAAAGAUACAGAUAGUGCAACAGAAAAUAAACAGCCAGAAAUGGUAAUGGUGAAAAGGUGAGGUAAGAGCUCACCGUAUUAGUGGUGACAUUAAUAGCUUGGCAAACCUCAUACGCUGCAAGACCAAAUAAACCAAGGUUACUUUAGUUGAAGAGUGGCUCGCUCAACUUGGAGGGUAGGUUGCUUGAGUUAAUUAGUGAUAAUUAACCUAGAUAAAUGAUGAACCUAGACAGAAUCCGGCUUACAGGUUUGACUUUUUU
This 341-nucleotide RNase P RNA is filed under the name Crocinitomicaceae bacterium. RNAcentral describes it as "RNase P RNA component class A". It matches the Rfam family "Bacterial RNase P class A". From Rfam's summary of the family: Ribonuclease P (RNase P) is a ubiquitous endoribonuclease, found in archaea, bacteria and eukarya as well as chloroplasts and mitochondria. The record is from RNAcentral. Lineage: Bacteria; Pseudomonadati; Bacteroidota; Flavobacteriia; Flavobacteriales; Crocinitomicaceae.